Molecule: ribosomal RNA, 404 nt
Filed under: uncultured bacterium
Lineage: Bacteria
Description: bacterial SSU rRNA
Rfam family: Bacterial small subunit ribosomal RNA
Source: RNAcentral
CCUUACCAGGGCUUAAAUGUAGUGGGACAGGCUUAGAGAUAGGCUUUUCUUCAGACUCAUUACAAGGUGCUGCAUGGUUGUCGUCAGCUCGUGCCGUGAGGUGUCAGGUUAAGUCCUAUAACGAGCGCAACCCCUACCGUUAGUUGCCAGCGAGUAAUGUCGGGGACUCUAACGGAACUGCCGGUGCAAACCGUGAGGAAGGUGGGGAUGACGUCAAAUCAUCACGGCCCUUACGUCCUGGGCUACACACGUGCUACAAUGGCCGGUACAAUGAGCAGCCAUCUCGCAAGGGAGAGCGAAUCUAUAAAACCGGUCACAGUUCGGAUCGGGGUCUGCAACCCGACCCCGUGAAGCUGGAAUCGCUAGUAAUCGGAUAUCAGCCAUGAUCCGGUGAAUACGUUCCC